This is a small nucleolar RNA of Gossypium arboreum, 107 nucleotides long. It matches the Rfam family "Plant small nucleolar RNA R71". Rfam says of the family: R71 is a member of the C/D box family of snoRNAs containing the C (UGAUGA) and D (CUGA) box motifs. Multiple nearly identical copies of this snoRNA have been identified in Arabidopsis, and it is thought to function as a 2'-O-ribose methylation guide for 18S ribosomal RNA. The record is from Rfam. Lineage: Eukaryota; Viridiplantae; Streptophyta; Magnoliopsida; Malvales; Malvaceae.
AAUCCAUGCAUCAGACAUUUCCAAAGCAAUUCCUUAAAUCUUUCCCAAGCUUCAUACAAUGUCUCAUCCUCUAAUUGCUGAAAAGAUGUAAUGUCAUUUCUAAGCUU